GGGUAACCUAACCUAUGCAGGGGAAUAACCUCGGGAAACUGAGUAUAAUACCCCAUAGUCCACUACGCCUGGAACGGUGAGUGGAUCAAAGCUCAGGCGGCAUAGGAUGGGCCUGCGGCGUAUCAGGUCGUAGGGGGUGUAAAGUACCCUCUAGCCAUCUACGCGUACGGGUGUUGGGAGACAUAGCCCGGAGAUGGAUUCUGAGACACGAAUCCAGACUCUACGGGGUGCAGCAGGCGCGAAAACUUGACAAUGCGAGCAAUCGUGAUCAGGGAACUCCAAGUGGCUGGGGUAAGACCCAGUCUUUUCAUAACUCUUCAAAGGUUGUAGAAUAAGGGGUGGGUAAGGACGGUGCCAGCCGCCGCGGUAAUACCGGCGCCUCAAGUGGUAGUCGCUUUUAUUGGGCCUAAAACGUCCGUAGCCGGUUUGGUACAUUCGUGGGUAAAUCAACUCGCUCAACGAGUUGAAUUCUGCGAGGACGGCCAGACUUGGGACCGGGAGAGGUGUGGGGUACUCUCAGGGUAGGGGUAAAAUCCUGUCAUCCUGAGAGGACCACCUGUUGCGAAGGCGCCACACUAGAACGGAUCCGACGGUCAGGGACGAAGCCUAGGGGCACGAACCGGAUUAGAUACCCGGGUAGUCCUAGGUGUAAACGCUGUGGACUUGAUGUUGGAGAAGCUCCGAGCUUCUUCAGUGUCGAAGCGAAGGUGAUAAGUCCACUGCCUGGGAAGUACGGUCGCAAGGCUGAAACUU
Molecule: ribosomal RNA, 753 nt
Filed under: uncultured Candidatus Poseidoniales archaeon
Lineage: Archaea; Methanobacteriati; Thermoplasmatota; Candidatus Poseidoniia; Candidatus Poseidoniales
Description: bacterial SSU rRNA
Rfam family: Archaeal small subunit ribosomal RNA
Source: RNAcentral